Molecule: long non-coding RNA, 3119 nt
Organism: Homo sapiens (human)
Lineage: Eukaryota; Metazoa; Chordata; Mammalia; Primates; Hominidae
Gene: AQP4-AS1
Product: AQP4 antisense RNA 1
Source: Ensembl
ACUUUCUAGCUGAACACUCAGCUUCAUCCACUCCAGGACAGCUGAGCGUCUGGAUGGUGUCUCACCCUGUUGCCCAGGCUGGAAUACAGUGGCACGAUCCUGGCUCACUGCAAUCUCCAUCUCCCGGGUUCAAGCGAUUCUCCUGCCUCAGCCUCUCAAGUAGCUGGGAUUACAGGGCUUCAGAAGCUGAUGGCAUAGUUAUGAGAGGGGUGAAGACUGCGACUGCAUUUCCAACAGACCCUGAGGACAAUUGGGAAGAAUGCGCUGAAUAUUUUUGAGCAAUUUCUAUAUGAUAAGCAGUUUUUAGGGCAAGUAUAGGUUGCACUGAUCCUGACCUUUUGGCCUGAGGAUGGAAGUCUUCAGUAUCUGUACAACUUUACUCCCAAGAGCUGGUGUAGAAUGAGUUCCUCUGGCCAUGGGAGGAUCGCAGAGGGGCACCUGCCACCAGCAGCCCAGCCUCAGCACUUUUCUCUUCAGCGUCUUCUUCAAGGUAUUUCCAGUUGCCCGCCCUGAACUGUUUCAGAAUGAGGAGGACACCUGGAGGAAUCUACACGUGCAUAGACCAAUUUGCAAAAGAACCUGUGAGCCAACAUUAUUACCUCAGCUGGAAGAAUUAAUAAGCAACACGUUCACCCAAGAAGUAUUUACUGAGCACCUACUAUGUGCAUUAUUUUCUGGUGUUGGGGCUAGGGGGCAAACGACUCUGACAAGUCUCUGUUCUCAAGGCUGGAGUGCAGCGGCGCGAUCUCGGCUCACUGCAAGCUCCGCCUCCCGGGUUCACGCCAUUCUCCUGCCUCAGCCUCCCGAGUAGCUGGGACUACAGGCGCCCGCAACCACGCCCGGCUAAUUUUUUGUAUUUUUAGUAGAGAUGGGGUUUCACCAUGUUAGUCAGGAUGGUCUCGAUUUCCUGACCUUGUGAUCCGCCCGCCCCCGCCUCCCAAAGUGCUGGGAUUACAGGCGUGAGCCACCGCGCCCGGCCGUAGUUUACAUUUUCUAAAGCGUACUCUGCCAGCCAAGUGGCAAACAGACUUGGGCCUCUUAAGAGUGGAAGCAGGAGGAAACCCGAAGAUCCUGGAGAGAGACUGGUGGCUGGUACCAGUGGAGAGGGAGCAAAAAGGAAAAUACAGGAUACAAUUUCAGGAAAAAUUUCAUACCAAUUUCCUGAGGUAAUUUCUGAACUCGAACAUUUUCAGUGUCACCACAUUGUGUUUCCUGCUGAAUCAAGUCUACAUCACUUCGGUUUUUAAAGCCUUCCACGAUCCUUCCCUGAACACUGUAGUUUUCACUGAUGGUUGGCUGUUUCAAACUCCCAUAUGAUCCAUACUGUAUCAUUAAUAAGCAAGCAAGGAAUAACACACCCUCUGCUAUUCUGUGCAGUGUUUCAGGUUUUUAGUUUUCUCUUUCAAGAUAGAAAAUCCCUUUAGAGUAGGAACUCGGCUGGCACUUUCUUUCACAUCCUGCAUAGCACUUAGCAAAGUUCUGUACACAGGGCACAUGUGGAAAUUGCUUAUUGAUUGAUUAAAAGCAUAUAUCACUGGCAUUUGUAUCUUCAGUAUUUCUCUUGUAUGAAGAAGGGUGAUUAUCUGUCAAUAUUCAUUGCAUCAUUGAACCAAUGUACAAUGCAUUAAUCAUCACUGAAGAUAACCAGAUGAGGCUUUAUUGUAAUCUCCUUCUAUUUUGCUGAGAUAAUUUCACUUGCUUUAGAGUUUAUGAGGCCAUAAGUGGCUCCCAUCUGUUGAUGAACAUAUUUCUAAGAGUCAUUUAGUCUCAAGUAUGGAAUACUUGAGGGGAAGUUAAAUUGUAACUUUUAUAUUAAGUGUCAUCUUAGUAACAGAACCAAAAUUGGAAGCAUGUGUUCAAUUUUGGUUUUUCAUUUUCAAAGCUUUAGGUCAGGCAAAGAAUUAAUUUCAUUUGUUUACAAAGUAGAUUAUGCCUAAUAAAAUCUAUUUUGUUUAUGGUCACAUUUUAAUCAAUCCACUGCUUUAGAAAAUGAGAGAAUUCUGAUUGGCUAAUCAUUCAACAUAGUAAAUUACAUUAUUCCACAUCCACAGAACACUGGCCUAAUUGCAUUAUCCAGUAAUGAUAAAAAUAUUCCUUUUAAUACAUUUUGAGCAAGGCAUAUACCAGUGAUGAAACAGGGAAGAAUCUUGUUUAUUCCAUCCUUGUUUGAUGAUCGACCACAGAAUAUAACAUAACACUUCUGUGUAUAAGAAUUUUUUCAACAUUAAGGAUAAUAAGGACAAGGUAGUUUUCACUGGAUCCUUACUGGUACUCUGAAUUUUCACUAUUUGUCCGCAUUUCUUCUCCUUCCCGGAAAUUUGUUUUCUGCGAAAAACAAGUGCUACUUUGUCAAAUAAAGCUUAAAUAAAAUUGGUUUCAAUUUAUGCAUAAUAAAAGGAAUGCCUAGUGACUUUCUAUCUCUAGUGGGAGGUAGAAAACUCUCCAGGGUGACUUUAUUCACUCCAGAGGUUCUGGUGAGCACCAAGGAACAUUACCUCUGCAAAAUGCAGACAUACGCAAAAGGAUGCAUCAAAUUUAAGAGAAGUCCGUAGAUAGAUAUCUGAGGGAUCUGCCUUAGGGGAUGUAGACCAUAUAUACAACACGAAUUCCACAGAAUUAGCCUGGUAUUCACGAUCACUGUUUCUUAAAACAUAACUCUUUUAUGUUACCAAGCAACUUUUAUCUGAGAUGAUGACUACUCGAAUACUUCUUUUGCAUAUCGCCAGAAAAUAUCAAGUUUUCAUUUGAGUCCUUAAUUCAAGUUCUUUAUCACAAGAAGAAAGAAUAGCAUGGAUAAAAUGGUUUAAAGGUAGCCAAAAAAAAAACAAAACAUUGUAUUUUAGAAUGCAUAUUCAAACAUAUUCCAAAAAAUACUGUAUUUUAGAAUGCAUAUUCAAACAUGAUGACAAGUGGGCUCUGUGGCUCAUAUUGACAAUAGCUUUAACCUAUGAAGUGAGUGUCUUUCUAUACGGAGGUGAUGAGUUACUCAAUACUGAACGGCUCUACUAAAUUGUGCUUUUGGCUAUUAGAACUUGGCUACUGCCUUUCGUUGCUAUGUGUUGAGAGAAAAAUCUCAAAUGAUGAUGCUAACCAUUUUGCUAAUAAAAUAUGCUAAGCUG